Molecule: ribosomal RNA, 389 nt
Filed under: uncultured Rhizophydiales
Lineage: Eukaryota; Fungi; Chytridiomycota; Chytridiomycetes; Rhizophydiales
Description: partial small subunit ribosomal RNA
Rfam family: Eukaryotic small subunit ribosomal RNA
Source: RNAcentral
GCUUGUCUCAAAGAUUAAGCCAUGCAUGUCUAAGUGUAAAUAAGUCUAUACUGUGAAACUGCGAAUGGCUCAUUAAAUCAGUUAUCGUUUAUUUGAUGAUCUCUUACUACUUGGAUAACCGUAGUAAUUCUAGAGCUAAUACAUGCACAAAAUCCCGACUUACGAAGGGAUGUAUUUAUUAGAUACAAACCAACAUCGUGGUGAUUCAUAAUAACUUUGGGCUGAUCGUAUGGCCUUGUGCCGACGACGUUUCCUUCGAAGGUGUGCCCUAUCAACUGUCGACUGUGAUAUAGACGCUCACAGUGGUUUUGACGGGUAACGGGGAAUCAGGGUUCGAUUCCGGAGAGGGAGCCUUAAAAACGGCUACCACAUCCAAGGAAGGCAGCAGG